CCUACGGGAGGCAGCAGUGAGGAAUAUUGGUCAAUGGGCGCGAGCCUGAACCAGCCAAGUCGCGUGAGGGAAGACGGUCCUAUGGAUUGUAAACCUCUUUUGUCGGGGAGCAAAAGACUCCACGCGUGGCGUUCCGAGAGUACCCGAAGAAAAAGCAUCGGCUAACUCCGUGCCAGCAGCCGCGGUAAUACGGAGGAUGCGAGCGUUAUCCGGAUUUAUUGUGUUUAAAGGGCGCGUAGAUGGGUUGUUAAGUCAGUUGUGAAAGUUUGGGGCUGAACCGUAACAUUGCAAUUGAUACUGGCAGUCUUGAGUACAGUUGGGGUAGGCGGAAUUCGUGGUGUAGCGGUGAAAUGCUUAGAGAUCACGAAGAACCCCGAUUGCGAAGGCAGCUUACUAAACUGUGACUGACAUUGAUGCACGAAAGUGUGGGGAGCAAACAGGAUUAGAUACCCGGGUAGUC
Molecule: ribosomal RNA, 460 nt
Filed under: uncultured bacterium
Lineage: Bacteria
Description: partial 16S ribosomal RNA
Rfam family: Bacterial small subunit ribosomal RNA
Source: RNAcentral